This 497-nucleotide ribosomal RNA is filed under the name uncultured bacterium. RNAcentral's name for it is "partial 16S ribosomal RNA". It matches the Rfam family "Bacterial small subunit ribosomal RNA", at positions 28 to 507 of the family's 1533-position model. The record is from RNAcentral.
GAUGAACGCUGGCGGCGUGCCUAAUACAUGCAAGUCGAGCGAACAGACGAGGAGCUUGCUCCUCUGACGUUAGCGGCGGACGGGUGAGUAACACGUGGAUAACCUACCUAUAAGACUGGGAUAACUUCGGGAAACCGGAGCUACUACCGGAUAAUAUAUUGAACCGCAUGGUUCAAUAGUGAAAGACGGUUUUGCUGUCACUUAUAGAUGGAUCCGCGCCGCAUUAGCUAGUUGGUAAGGUAACGGCCUACCAAGGCAACGAUGCGUAGCCGACCUGAGAGGGUGAUCGGCCACACUGGAACUGAGACACGGUCCAGACUCCUACGGGAGGCAGCAGUAGGGAAUCUUGCGCAAUGGGCGAAAGCCUGACGGAGCAACGCCGCGUGAGUGAUGAAGGUCUUCGGAUCGUAAAACUCUGUUAUUAGGGAAGAACAAAUGUGUAAGUAACUAUGCACGUCUUGACGGUACCUGAUCAGAAAGCCACGGCUAACUACGCG